CCUACGGGAGGCUGCAGUGGGGAAUAUUGGACAAUGGGGGCAACCCUGAUCCAGCCAUGCCGCGUGUGUGAAGAAGGCCCUCGGGGUGUAAAGCACUUUCAGUGAGGAAGAACGCCUGGUGGUUAAUACCCAUCAGGAAAGACAUCACUCACAGAAGAAGCACCGGCUAACUCCGUGCCAGCAGCCGCGGUAAUACGGAGGGUGCGAGCGUUAAUCGGAAUUACUGGGCGUAAAGCGCGCGUAGGUGGCUUGAUAAGCCGGUUGUGAAAGCCCCGGGCUCAACCUGGGAACGGCAUCCGGAACUGUCAAGCUAGAGUGCAGGAGAGGAAGGUAGAAUUCCCGGUGUAGCGGUGAAAUGCGUAGAGAUCGGGAGGAAUACCAGUGGCGAAGGCGGCCUUCUGGACUGAAACUGACACUGAGGUGCGAAAGCGUGGGUAGCAAACAGGAUUAGAUACCCUAGUAGUC
Molecule: ribosomal RNA, 465 nt
Filed under: Vreelandella stevensii
Lineage: Bacteria; Pseudomonadati; Pseudomonadota; Gammaproteobacteria; Oceanospirillales; Halomonadaceae
Description: partial 16S ribosomal RNA
Rfam family: Bacterial small subunit ribosomal RNA
Source: RNAcentral